GUCGAGGGGCAUCGGGAUUGAAGCUUGCUUCAAUUGCCGGCGACCGGCGCACGGGUGCGUAACGCGUAUGUAACCUACCUAUAACAGGGGCAUAACACUGAGAAAUUGGUACUAAUUCCCCAUAAUAUUCGGAGAGGCAUCUCUCCGGGUUGAAAACUCCGGUGGUUAUAGAUGGACAUGCGUUGUAUUAGCUAGUUGGUGAGGUAACGGCUCACCAAGGCAACGAUACAUAGGGGGACUGAGAGGUUAACCCCCCACACUGGUACUGAGACACGGACCAGACUCCUACGGGAGGCAGCAGUGAGGAAUAUUGGUCAAUGGACGCAAGUCUGAACCAGCCAUGCCGCGUGCAGGAAGACGGCUCUAUGAGUUGUAAACUGCUUUUGUACGAGGGUAAACUCACCUACGUGUAGGUGACUGAAAGUAUCGUACGAAUAAGGAUCGGCUAACUCCGUGCCAGCAGCCGCGGUAAUACGGAGGAUUCAAGCGUUAUCCGGAUUUAUUGGGUUUAAAGGGUGCGUAGGCGGUUUGAUAAGUUAGAGGUGAAAUCCCGGGGCUUAACUCCGGAACUGCCUCUAAUACUGUUAGACUAGAGAGUAGUUGCGGUAGGCGGAAUGUAUGGUGUAGCGGUGAAAUGCUUAGAGAUCAUACAGAACACCGAUUGCGAAGGCAGCUUACCAAACUAUAUCU
This 690-nucleotide ribosomal RNA is filed under the name uncultured Bacteroidales bacterium. Its description in RNAcentral is "bacterial SSU rRNA". It matches the Rfam family "Bacterial small subunit ribosomal RNA", at positions 61 to 741 of the family's 1533-position model. Lineage: Bacteria; Pseudomonadati; Bacteroidota; Bacteroidia; Bacteroidales. The record is from RNAcentral.